This 460-nucleotide ribosomal RNA is filed under the name uncultured bacterium. Its description in RNAcentral is "partial 16S ribosomal RNA". It matches the Rfam family "Bacterial small subunit ribosomal RNA", at positions 338 to 795 of the family's 1533-position model. The record is from RNAcentral.
CCUACGGGAGGCAGCAGUGAGGAAUAUUGGUCAAUGGGCGGAAGCCUGAACCAGCCAAGUCGCGUGAGGGAAUAAGGCCCUACGGGUCGUAAACCUCUUUUGUCAGGGAGCAACGCCGGCUACGUGUAGCCGGACUGAGAGUACCUGAAGAAAAAGCAUCGUCUAACUCCGUGCCAGCAGCCGCGGUAAUACGGAGGAUGCGAGCGUUAUCCGGAUUUAUUGGGUUUAAAGGGUGCGUAGGCGGAAUGCCAAGUCAGCGGUAAAAUCGCGGGGCUCAACCUCGCUCCGCCGUUGAAACUGGUGUUCUUGAGUGGGCGAGAAGUAUGCGGAAUGCGUGGUGUAGCGGUGAAAUGCAUAGAUAUCACGAAGAACUCCGAUUGCGAAGGCAGCAUACCGGCGCCCAACUGACGCUGAAGCACGAAAGCGUGGGUAUCGAACAGGAUUAGAUACCCCAGUAGUC